RNAcentral lists this ribosomal RNA (329 nucleotides) under Entoloma bicolor. RNAcentral describes it as "LSU rRNA". It matches the Rfam family "Eukaryotic large subunit ribosomal RNA", at positions 91 to 413 of the family's 3401-position model. The record is from RNAcentral. Lineage: Eukaryota; Fungi; Basidiomycota; Agaricomycetes; Agaricales; Entolomataceae.
GAGUGAAGCGGGAAAAGCUCAAAUUUAAAAUCUGGUAGUCUUUGGCUGCCCGAGUUGUAAUCUAGAGAAGUGUUAUCCGCGCUGGACCGUGUACAAGUCUCCUGGAAUGGAGCGUCAUAGAGGGUGAGAAUCCCGUCUUUGACACGGACUACCAGGGCUUUGUGAUGUGCUCUCAAAGAGUCGAGUUGUUUGGGAAUGCAGCUCUAAAUGGGUGGUAAAUUCCAUCUAAAGCUAAAUAUUGGCGAGAGACCGAUAGCGAACAAGUACCGUGAGGGAAAGAUGAAAAGAACUUUGGAAAGAGAGUUAAACAGUACGUGAAAUUGUUGAAA